Molecule: ribosomal RNA, 520 nt
Filed under: uncultured Diversispora
Lineage: Eukaryota; Fungi; Glomeromycota; Glomeromycetes; Diversisporales; Diversisporaceae
Description: SSU rRNA
Rfam family: Eukaryotic small subunit ribosomal RNA
Source: RNAcentral
AGCAGCCGCGGUAAUUCCAGCUCCAAUAGCGUAUAUUAAAGUUGUUGCAGUUAAAAAGCUCGUAGUUGAACUUCGGGGUUUACCCAUUGGUCAGGCUUAAUUGUCUGUACUGGUGAGAUGAAUCUCUACCUUCUGAGGAACUUUCAUGCCAUUUAGUUGGUGUGAUAGGAAAUCAGGACUGUUACUUUGAAAAAAUUAGAGUGUUUAAAGCAGGCUAACGUCUGAAUACAUUAGCAUGGAAUAAUGAAAUAGGACGGAUUGGUUCUAUUUCGUUGGUUUCUAGGAUCACCGUAAUGAUUAAUAGGGAUAGUUGGGGGCAUUAGUAUUCAAUUGUCAGAGGUGAAAUUCUUGGAUUUAUUGAAGACUAACUAUUGCGAAAGCAUUUGCCAAGGAUGUUUUCAUUAAUCAAGAACGAAAGUUAGGGGAUCGAAGACGAUCAGAUACCGUCGUAGUCUUAACCAUAAACUAUGCCGACUAGGGAUCGGACGAAGUUAAUUUUAUAAUGACGCGUUCGGCACCU